This 498-nucleotide ribosomal RNA is filed under the name uncultured bacterium. Its description in RNAcentral is "partial 16S ribosomal RNA". It matches the Rfam family "Bacterial small subunit ribosomal RNA", at positions 29 to 507 of the family's 1533-position model. The record is from RNAcentral.
AUGAACGCUGGCGGCGUGCCUAAUACAUGCAAGUCGAGCGAACAGACGAGAGUGCUUGCACUCUCUGACGUUAGCGGCGGACGGGCGAGUAACACGUGGGUAACCUACCUAUAAGACUGGGAUAACUUCGGGAAACCGGAGCUAAUACCGGAUAAUAUUUAGCUUCGCAUGAAGCAAUAGUGAAAGACGGUUCUGCUGUCACUUAUAGAUGGACCCGCGGUGUAUUAGCUAGUUGGUGAGGUAACGGCUCACCAAGGCAACGAUACAUAGCCGACCUGAGAGGGUGAUCGGCCACACUGGGACUGAGACACGGCCCAGACUCCUACGGGAGGCAGCAGUAGGGAAUCUUCCGCAAUGGACGAAAGUCUGACGGAGCAAUGCCGCGUGAGUGAAGAAGGUUUUCGGAUCGUAAAACUCUGUUGUAAGGGAAGAACAAGUACGUUAGUAACUGAACGUACCUUGACAGUACCUUACCAGAAAGCCACGGCUAACUACGUG